GAUGAACGCUGGCGGCGUGCCUAAUACAUGCAAGUCGAGCGAACAGAUGAGGAGCUUGCUCCUCUGACGUUAGCGGCGGACGGGUGAGUAACACGUGGAUAACCUACCUAUAAGACUGGGAUAACUUCGGGAAACCGGAGCUAAUACCGGAUAAUAUAUUGAACCGCAUGGUUCAAUAGUGAAAGACGGUUUUGCUGUCACUUAUAGAUGGAUCCGCGCCGCAUUAGCUAGUUGGUAAGGUAACGGCUUACCAAGGCAACGAUGCGUAGCCGACCUGAGAGGGUGAACGGCAACCCGGGAACGGAGACACGGCCCAGACUCCUACGGGAGGCAGCAGUAGGGAAUCUUCCGCAAUGGACGAGAGCCUGACGGUGCAACGCCGCGUGAGUGAUGAAGGUCUUAGGAUCGUAAAACUCUGUUAUUAGGGAAGAACAAAUGUGUAAGUAACUAUGAACGUCUUGACGGUACCUAAUCAGAAAGCCACGGCUAACUACGUG
RNAcentral lists this ribosomal RNA (497 nucleotides) under uncultured bacterium. Its description in RNAcentral is "partial 16S ribosomal RNA". It matches the Rfam family "Bacterial small subunit ribosomal RNA", at positions 28 to 507 of the family's 1533-position model. The record is from RNAcentral.